This 254-nucleotide ribosomal RNA is filed under the name uncultured bacterium. RNAcentral's name for it is "partial 16S ribosomal RNA". It matches the Rfam family "Bacterial small subunit ribosomal RNA", at positions 524 to 776 of the family's 1533-position model. The record is from RNAcentral.
CACGUAGGGGGCAAGCGUUGUCCGGAUUUAUUGGGCGUAAAGAGCUCGUAGGCGGUUCGGUAAGUUGGGUGUGAAACCUCCAGGCUCAACCUGGAGACGCCACCCGAUACUGCUGUGACUAGAGUCCGGUAGGGGAGCGUGGAAUUCCUGGUGUAGCGGUGAAAUGCGCAGAUAUCAGGAGGAACACCAGCGGCGAAGGCGGCGCUCUGGGCCGGAACUGACGCUGAGGCGCGAAAGCGUGGGGAGCAAACAAG